This 253-nucleotide ribosomal RNA is filed under the name uncultured bacterium. Its description in RNAcentral is "partial 16S ribosomal RNA". It matches the Rfam family "Bacterial small subunit ribosomal RNA", at positions 524 to 776 of the family's 1533-position model. The record is from RNAcentral.
UACGUAGGGUCCGAGCGUUGUCCGGAGUUACUGGGCGUAAAGCGCGCGUAAGCGGCGGUGCUGGCCCGGCGUGAAAGCCCCCGGCUCAACCGGGGAGGGUCGUCGGGGACCGCACCGCUUGAGGGCGGUAGGGGCUGGUGGAAUGCCUGGUGUAGUGGUGAAAUGCGUAGAGAUCAGGCGGAACACCCGUGGCGAAGGCGGCCAGCUGGGCCGUCCCUGACGCUGAGGUGCGAAAGCCAGGGUAGCGAACGGG